AAGACUAUACUUUUGGGAUUGUUUCAAUAGUCCUUGACUAGAGAAAUUUCUCUGAUGGUAUAGAGCACCCAGAAGGUAGAAAGCCACCCUAGUGCUUUUAAUGACUUC
RNAcentral lists this small nucleolar RNA (108 nucleotides) under Ochotona princeps (American pika). RNAcentral's name for it is "Small nucleolar RNA U3 (ENSOPRG00000022610.1)". Lineage: Eukaryota; Metazoa; Chordata; Mammalia; Lagomorpha; Ochotonidae. The record is from RNAcentral.